ACAGCUUUGAAGCUGGAGCCGAAGCCAGUGCUUCCUUCUUCACGUUGUUUAUGCUGGGUGUUUGGUGACCGAAGACACCCAAACCGCUGGCACAUCCGUAUUUCAGGCCCCAGUGACAGGGAGAGGGACUGGAAGAGGUGUCUGCCCUGGCCACAGCAAGACAGGGGAGGGCACUGUGAGCCUGAACGAGACCCGGGGUCCCGGAGACUGAGUCCUCGCUGCAGGAGGGUCCGGUGACCCUGAGGCUCUGGGGAGACUGGCCUGGAAGGAGCUGAGGGUGGCAGGGGGCUAGGGUGCGGUUGGAGGAGGAAGAAGCCCAGAGAGGGCGACUGUGGCGGGAGAGGAACAGGAGGUGCUGGUGACAGGACUCUGUGAGGGGCCAGGGGAGCGUGCUCAGGAAAGAUCCACCCAGCAACGACGUGACAGGGCUCAGAGUGGGCUGGCGAGCUGGGGAGGAAAGAUUGGAGGGAUGAGGCAGAGCGGUCCAGGAAGAGGGCACCGCAGCGGGUAGGCCGCCGUCCCAGGGCUCCGGGGGUGACAGGGGCUACCGGGCUACCGGCGACGUUGACACGGACAGUCCCAGAAAAGCAGCCUGUGCAAAGAAGCGAUGCAGGAGAGAAGUGAAGGUAGUCCGGCUGUUCUUUCAAAAAAUGCACACGUGGGGCCGGGAUUUAGCUCAGUGGUUCCACCGCCUGCCUGGAAAGCGCAAGGACCAGAGUUCGAUCCCUGGUACCAAAAAAAAAAAAAAGAUGUACACGUGCCAGGCCCAGUGACACACAUCCGUAAUCCCACCUACUGGAGAGGCUGAGGCAGGAGGAUGACAAGUUUGACACCAGCCUUGGCAACCCUGUCUCAAAAUAAAAAUUAACAGAGUAGCUCGGUGUAGACACAGCCCGCGCCCAAGGCUGCCAAGAAAAAGAAAAAGGCACAAGCAGAAAGAAAGAGGGCUCAGUGAGGGGAAAGCUGGAGGCCCAGGAAGACGUCGUCCGGGUGUCGGUGUGUCGGGAUGAGAGCCCUUGGCGCGAGUGGGUGAAGGGUCCAGUGGAGAGAGACCUGUGGGAGUUAAAGGUGCGAGGACGAGAAGUGAUGCCGCAGGUUUGCUCUGCCACAUUACCUGGCACCAACGCUGAAUGUGGCUGUGUUUGGAGACAGGUGCUGUUGCUGUCAGAGUUUGCAAGGGAAUGGAGUUAGUACAGGACACAUCGUUUACAAGAUUAUUUUACAAUGGUCACUCAAAAAGUCAAAUGCAGAGGAGCGCAAGAGAUGUCCACCUGCUAGAGACCUAGAGGCCUGGAUCCUACCGCAGUGCCCUACCUGAGACCACUCAGAGGCGUGGGGCCCAGGGCAACGUCACAGGCAAGUCCAUACAGAGAGUCGACUGGGAAUGCCGGGUGCCCGUGGUGAAGCUGGAAAGUCUGCACCUGCGGGGCGAGGGGUCAGUACACAGGCUGAGGCUCGUGUGCGCACGGUGAAGACCAGCACUCCUGGAAGAGAACAGCAGCCAUCCCAGCGACAGCGCAAGGACCCGGCUCCUCCUCCUCCUCCUUCGAGAACAGCUGACUUAGUUUCAGGAAAACCAGCCACAGCCAGCUUCUCCAGGAAGAUCAAUGGCAGCACCUUCCCGCCCAUUCUCCUGUAUGCCCUUGGCAACAGUCCUCACCCAGGUGGGUGACUCGGCUCAGCUGGGCGUUCCCACUUAGAAUGACCUUAACCACCACAGAUAGUAAACAGGCGAUUCAGCUAGGACCAGGCCUUCUCGGGUUAGGGGUCUGAAUUCAGCUGACUGCUGUUUUGAAAAGGGCAGGACACAGGCACACCGAAGGUCCAUGAGGCAGAGAGGCUGUGGACGCCGCCCUCCUGGACCUCGGGCAGCAGGCAGUCACCUUGUCCUUGGCGUUUUGUUACAGCAGCGCUAGAACGUUGAUAGCUGUGUUAAUUUGAUCCUUUUCUUGGCAAAAAGUCUGGAAGGUGACCAAGAUUUUUCUUCCAUUUAAAAUAUUUUCCUCUGGACUUUGGAUAUUUUUGAACUUUGACAGCUCCCAACAUGGAUGUGUACUGUGUGAGUUGGAAAUAAUUAACUCUAAGUAAAUAAUCUUUGACUUGUAAAAAUAAUUUGCAGUAGAUAAAGAAAAUGAAUUUGAUAAAUUAACUGGUGCUAGGAUAAAUGCUAUAGGUCUUCUGUUGCCUGUAAUGUACUGAGCUUGUAUCUUUUAAUUUCUAGGGUAACAGCUGAAAUUACAUAAAUAGAUUGUUACUUUAAAAUUAGUAUAGAAAAAAGAAUAGAAUGAUAAAAUAUAACACAAAAGGGCAGAAACAAACGCAAAGAUGAGAGACAAUUAGAAAGCUCCAUAAGGAGUAUAAAGUCAAAAUCAGACAGAGAAGCAUCACAUUGUAUGUAAAAGAAUUAAAUGCUUCAGUGAAGACAGAAAUUGUUAGGCUGAGACAUGUAAAGUCACUUGUAUACUUUUUAUAAGAAUCAUUAAAACACAAGUGCAAAAAGGUAGAAAAGGAAUGGGAAAAGUUAUACCACAAUGAUAUUAACCAACAUAUGCUGGCUUAGCCAUAUUAAUAUCAGUGGGAAAAUAGAUCCCAAGGUGAGAAGCGGGCUUUGGAAGGGUCACUUCAGGCAGUGCCAUCAAAAUGGUCCGGCAGGCAGCUCUGAGCUCCAUCUACCAAGAGAAACAUCUAGGGCCAACCAGAGCGACCAGAAUUAACUUUGUCAGAACUCUGGAACACAGCAACUAAGAAACUGUGAGCGAAGAGACAGCAACUUCAUUUUUGUUUUUUUUUUUGUACCGGAGAUCGAACUCGGGGGACCUUGCGAUUGUGAGGCAGGUGCUGGAACCACUGAGCUAAAUCCCCGGCCCCGAGACAGCAACUUCAAAACAGCGGGGAGGCCAAGGCCACUCUCACCUCACCCACCCACCCUGGAGACAGCAGCCAGGGCUGAGGGAGCAGGGGCCUCACUCCCAGUCCCUGCGAGCCGCCUGGAGGACAGAGGCCGGUGCCUUCAUCUGUUGUGCCUAAUUUGGAACUUACUUGGCGCAUUGGAUGGCGGGAAACAACCUGUAGCAAGACUGAGACCCGACAGAUGACCCACGCAGUGGGAGAAAAGAUCAGGGAGAGAAUUUCUUUGGAGACUCAGGGCAUUCAAAAGUGCAGGUGUAUCCAGGAGAAUUUGCAAAGCCACACCCACACCCAUGACGAGAUUCAUGCGCAGAAAAGUCCUGGAGAGACCUUAGGGUUCAUCUUUGGCUGAUCCCGGUGCUCAGAAUGCGAAUCACAGUGCAGAGCUUCGAGGAGAGGACCAAAGGAGGCAGGCGAGGUCUGCGUGCCUGUCAGGCAAGGCAGCCCCGGUCCACACCCUCGCUGAGCACCAGGGGCACACCUGACAGGGGAUCGGGUCUCUGGGCAAGAGGGAUGGGAAAGUUACUGGGUCAAAAGAUGAUUACAGACAAACAGUGAAAAGUAAAUGCUGAGGAAGGUGGAGAAUUCGAUUUCCAGAGCUAUCACAUUAUAAUAUUAAGAUAUUCUGUUCUCAACAACAAGACCUUAUCUAGUAAGUCCAAUAUCUGGGCUUCCUUGGUGAUGGUUUGUGUCAAUUUUUUAAAAUUUGAACAGGCCAUAUUUUCCAUGUAAAAGUGGUAUGUGUUUGUGCUUUGUAAUUUUUUUAAAUUGUUGUUCAUUCAUUGCUGUACCAUGUUAGAGUGUUUGUCCAGCACUUGUGAGGCCUGGAUUCAAUCCCUAGCAACACACACACACACACACACACUCAUGCACGCACAAUAUAUAGAAUCUGCCAAAAAAGUAUGCACUCCUCAGCAGUUCGCUGUGCUAAUAAAUGUCUGGAAGCAAAUGGCCACCUCUUUGGCACCGCUUGUAAUUCUAGAGGCCAAAGGUAACUUGUGUGAAUCUCAUGAUGUCUCAGGAAACUUAGUAUUAAAAUAUUUAUACAAAUUUUUCUUCUCCUGGUGUACACAUUUUUGGGUAGAUGCUGUGUGAAAACUCUCCCCUGGUGGGGUGGCCUCACCAGUAGUCUCAGCUUCUGGGAGACUGAGGAAGGCAGAGCCCUACUGCCAGGCCGGCCUGUGCAACUUAGCAAGACUUGUCUCGAAAUUAGAGAAAAUGUUGAAAAGGGCUGGGAUGUAACUCAGGGCAAGGCCCUAGGUUCAGUCCUCAGUAUUGAGAACAAACAACUAACUCUUAAAAUUCAAUAGUAACAAAUCCCAAACAAAAUAUAUAUAUGGCCAAUAAACGUGAAGAUUUUCAGCAUCUCUAACCAUGAAGGAAACGCAAGUGCAGACCAUAAUAAGACCUCUAUAUUCCUAUUGUCAUAGCCAAUAAUUUAACAUCAAUAAUACCUUAUGCUGUGAGGAUACAGAAAAACCAGGGUUCUCACCUAUUUCUGGCGGGAAAGCAACAUGGCAGAGCCACUCUCGAAAAGAACGUCGUGCCUGGCAAUCCUAAGCACUGCUGGAUGGAUGGAUGAACAAACGGGAAGAUGGACUGGGCCAGAUUCUCAGAGUGUUUAAGCAGGACACGAGCAUGCCUGUGCUUCUGCCCCGCAGACAUUUACCCGGGACUUCUGCCUAACGGUUGACUGCCAUGCCUACGUGUGGAAUUCGGUCCGUUGAUGUCUCCUAGAAACACUGCUGCUAGUGCUGCUGCUGCUGCUGCUGCUGCUGCUGCUGUGUGCUCUUCCUUCGGCUUCCAUGAGCUCCUUGACUGGCAGUGUCCCCAGGGCUCCAUUUGUCGCUUGGCUGCAGGCACUGGGUGCUGGUCUACAAGCUCCCUCUGGGCCCGGCGCCCUUUCUCACUGUGCAGCAGCAGAGGGCAUUGUCUAGGUACAGCUGCCAACGGUGGACUGCAGAAAGCGUAAUGCUGAGUCACUGCCCAUCAGCGAGCACUGUACGGGUUAAGGAGUAAUCUGGGAUGGGAGCGGCUGCCCAGAGGUGAACUGCGUCACUGCUUGUCAUUUCCACCCUACAAGAAGGAGUGUAUAGGGCUGGUCAGAAAAUAGGUGUGGGGCGGGGGAUUCAGCUCAGUGGUUCUGGUGCCUGCCUCCCAAGUGCAAGGCCCAGAGUUGAUCCCCAGUACCAAAAAGCAAAGCAAAACAAAUAUGGUGUGUUUCAAAUAAAAGAAAAAUUAUUGCAAUAAAAGACACAUUGGCAUCAAUCCCCCUCAGAAUCCUCCCCCUCACUUUGAACACACUUAUCCCAUUUUCUUGCCGCUUUCUGAAGCAGUUCUGGAGUCCUCUUUCAUGAGUGUCUUUACAAGGUGUAAUAAAAAAUAUGAGGAAUGCUGAUGCUGAGUGUCAUCCAACGGAAAACAUAAAAACACCACAGUGUGUUCUCAUCUACUUCAUUCACCACACCCAGCACUGUGGGACUUUUGGUUCUUCUCAAAAGUCAAAAUGACCAUGAAAGACGAACAGUUUGAUUCAAUUCAGGGCACUGAGGCAGACACAACAGUACAACUAGAAAAAUUCAUGAAAGAGGACUCGAAAACUGCUUCAGAAAGGAACAAGAAAAUGGAAUAAAUGUGUUUAAAGUAAGGGCAAGUGUGUUGAGAGGGAUUCAUAGCAAUGUAUCUUUUAUUAUAGUAAAUUUUUUAAAACUUAAAAAUUCAUAUUUUAAUGAUACUUCAAACAUCAUAUUAACUUUAUUCACUUCAUAGAUGUAUUACAUUGGGGUGCAGCUCUGUGGCAGAUCGCUUGCCGAACACAUACAAGAUAGCUCGAGAGUCAAUCCCCAACCCUGAAAAAAAUUACCUCAAAUGCUAAUGACAUUCGAUGGACUCCAAAACAUUUUUAAAUGAAAAAAUUGGAAGAGAUAAUUAAUAAGGAUUCGUCUAGCUUUUUGAUGAGCGUAUGAAGUCUUUGCAAGCUCUUACUGUUUCUCCAGGUGAGUCCUAUCUCCAUACAUGGUCACAAUUUCCUUCCCUGUCACCAGAAGGAACCGCACUCACCUGUGUGCCGUCAGAACAGCUCAAACAUCCAUCACACAGGCUGCCCGAGCCUGAGGGGAGCUGCUGCUUCAAGACGUUUGCUGUUCCUCAGCCUUGCUCAUGAUUUGCUAGGAGGUCGUCAUGCUGUCCUUCUGUGCUUCCCUCCGGUCCCAGACAGACCUGUUACUGGUCCACACUGCUCUGCACCCAUGGUCCCGUCUGCCCUGCUCUUCCCCUCCUUCGCCACCAUGCCCUUUUCUCGUCUCUCCUUGUCAAGCUCUUGCUCAGAUUCCCAAUUUCUAGGCUAGCGCUGACAUUCUCUGUCACCUUGUUUUUUGCUAUUCUUAUAUAGGAUUCUGUUUCUUUAUUAGUGCAUGUUGAUUACACCAAAUAAUGGGUGUCACCGCGGCAUAUUCAUGUGCACAUCCAUCCCCAUCAUACUUCAGUCAGGUCUGUCCCAGAGCCUUCUUCACCUCCCUCCAUCCCUUCCUCUCCUCUGUCUUCUUUCCAGAAGUCUGUGUUCUUUCACAUCAUCUCUUUUUUCUAUGCAUGAAAGAAAACAUGUGAUACUUGUCUUUCUGUAUCUAACUUACUUUACUCAACAUGUUGAUCUUCAGUUCUAUUUUUUUACAAAUGACAUAAUUUCAUUCCUCACUGUGACUGACUAAAGCUCCAUCGUGUAUGGAUUUCACUGUUUCUCCAGUCAUCUGUUGAAGGGGCAUCCAGGCUGGUUCCGUAACUUGGCGAUGUGACUUGUGCUGCAGCAAACAUGGAUGUGCAGGUAUCUCCACAGUAUGCUGACUUUAAUUCCUUUGAGUACAUACCUAGGAGGGAGGUAGUUGGAUCAUACUGUAGUUUUUUUUUUUUUUUUGGUUUUUAAUAUGAGUUCUAUAAAUACCUGAGUCCUGUGAUUUCCUUAUUUGCUUUGCAGUUCAUUUGCUUGGGAGGUGUGGGAAGAUUGUCUUAAAAAGGUGAAUUCCUCAUAUGACAGAGUCUGGCCACAGUGGGAUCUGAUCACACAAACGACCCAGGUGUUCUGAUGAAAGUUGCUGUCCACGCUUCAGGCAGUGUUUAGGAUUUAAAUGAAUGAGCUUCAGGGGAUCUGUGAACCUUCAGAAUUUUUUUACAUUCUAUAUCUUUAUGUCCAUUUGUAUUUUUCUAAGGGAAGGUUUCCUAACUUUCAACAGACUAUUAAAGGAGCCUGUGUCAGAAUUUUUUAAAAAGCAAUCUAUUAAACCAUUAAAUGAGGGUUUCAGAUAAAAGAAAACUUCUUUGUUAUUUGAGGACUAAAACAUAAAUUCAAUAUUGAGGUCUGAUACAUACAUUUUACUGUACAGGGUACUUUGAGACAUCACACACACAGAUCAUGCCUUUCAGAUUGGCUAAGGACACAUGCACACCUGGGCUGCUUUGUUUCAAGGUCUAGAGCCCCAAGGCCUAGCAUCAAAGAGGCGGCACGUGUCUAUCAUGUUGGAGGAAAGAGUGUGCCGAAUUCCAUCCGCGAUUUUCAUGAAAUCAGUAGCUAGAGGAUUAAGAGUCUUGUCUGCAGAUUCUGCCUGGAAAAGAGACAGCCCUGAAGUGUAAACAGUUUUGUGCACCAAGAUCAGUGUAGAGCCUGGUCUCUCAUUCAUCAUGUUCUGGCUCUGUAAUUCUAGACACGUCAUUAGUAUUCCUGGGCUUCUGACGAUGGACUUCUUAUAGCAAUAGUGAUCUUUCUGCCAGGACAUAGGAUCCUAUGAUAUCAUGAGGCUCCCCAGAAUAUAGGCAUGGAUGCAGGUAUACAUACACACAAACCUAUAUACGUAUAUAUGCACACAUACAUAAGAUAUGUAUAAGUGGUGAAGCCCAACCGACCUCCAUUGCUGCUUGACAAAGUUCCAGCUGGGGGAAAGAAAGCAGGGAACACAUCGUACCCUCAUGUUUUAUUUUUUUCUUGCCAUAAUGUUUAUAAUUGUUACUCUGGUCACGGGAGUCAUUGUGUUUGUGACUAACAACAAACUCUCCAUGAGGCAAAUUGGCAAUGAUAUAUUGAAAUCUGAUCUGGCUCAAAAGUCUCAAAUUCCAGUUUCUCUUAGUUCUAUUGCCACAUCCACUCCUAAAGAAACCUCUCCUAAAACCCCCUCUGUUUUCCCACUAUUAUAACUCCCUCUCUUACUGCUGACAUUCUUUUUACUAAAGGGGUCUUAUAAAGAGAUUGAAAGGACAGACUUUAGAUGUAAGAAAUAGUGGGAAAUGGGAAAUAAAAAGAACGUUAAAACAGGUAAAUGCAUUAAGGAGGCAAGUUACUCAAUAUUUCUCAAAGUGCUGUAAAUAUCUCCUGCUCAUGGACUAUGAACCCAAAUGACAUUUAGUUAAGAUGAAUAGAGGUAAAAAGAACAUAGAGAGCUAAUAGCAAACUGUAUUAACCAUUGUGCAGUUUCUCAAGGGCUAGCUGGUGACCACAAGUUUGACAUUUAAUUUGAUUGUUACUUUCUGUUCUGCUUAGGUAUGGGACAAUGAGGGAACAAUUGCAGUUUUUAAGAAAUGUAUUCAUGAUGUUCAAUGAAAUGAAUCAGCUUAGAAAAAAUAUACUGUUUAACAAAAAUAACCUGUACCUCAUCAGAUAUUGCUAAGGCAACAUGUUCCGCCCAAUGCCUCUUCGCUAUUGCUUAAAGAUAUAAAAAUAAAUCAGACCCUGAGACUUCUCAGAGGGAACCUGAACAUUGCUUGUAAAGGUUCUUUUCUCAUCGCUGGCCCAGGACAUCUCCCCUUCCUACCCUACAUCGACUGCAGCUGGUCUGCGACAUAUAAGAUUACUUACACUCAGGCACUGGAAAUGUAGACGAGUAUAAAGAAAUAAAAAUUCUCUAUAGUACAUCCCAGAGGUAACAGCUCUCAUCCAGUGUCUUUUUGUUCCUAAGUAAAAAUUCAGGCAGCCCUCAUUUUAGCUAGGCAUUGUCUAGAGACAUUCAACAUGUGUCUGAUAAAAUGAUACAGAAGCUAGGUACAGCACGUGCCUGUAGUCCCAGAUACUUGGGAGGUUGAGGCAGGAGGGCGGCUUGAGCCUAGGAGCUGCAGGCCAACCUGGCCAACAUAGUGAGACACUGUUAAAAAUAAACCGUAAAAUAACAUGAUGCUUGUACCAUGUUUCAUUUUUAUUUAAAAAACAAAUGUUAGCUCAAGGGAUAGGAUGAAGUUGAGAAUUAUAUAAGUAAUAAAUGCAUAAGCACAGUGCUUAUAUUUAUAUAAACAAAACAUCAAAUGCACUCUGUACAGCAGCUAUACACUUGGGCAAUGUAUGAUCAUUUUUUAAUAAUAGGCAUCUUUUAUCACAAAACACAAGAAUACCAUGGGGCUGCCACCUUCUAGAUGCUAUUUCAGGAUGGAAACAAAACUGCAAAAAUCAGAGUCUACUUACUGAUUUGCAACACAUCCC
This 9361-nucleotide long non-coding RNA is filed under the name Heterocephalus glaber (naked mole-rat). Its description in RNAcentral is "lncRNA (ENSHGLG00000047708.1)". Lineage: Eukaryota; Metazoa; Chordata; Mammalia; Rodentia; Bathyergidae. The record is from RNAcentral.